UGAGGAAUAUUGGUCAAUGGGCGAGAGCCUGAACCAGCCAAGUCGCGUGAAGGAAGAAGGUUCUAUGGAUUGUAAACUUCUUUUGUAAGGGAAUAAAAAGAGUUACGUGUAACUUAUUGUAUGUACUUUACGAAUAAGGAUCGGCUAACUCCGUGCCAGCAGCCGCGGUAAUACGGAGGAUCCAAGCGUUAUCCGGAUUUAUUGGGUUUAAAGGGUGCGUAGGCGGACCCGUUAGUCAGUGGUGAAAGUUUGCAGCUCAACUGUAAAAUUGCCAUUGAAACUGCGGGUCUUGAGUGUAAAUGAGGUAGGCGGAAUGUGUUGUGUAGCGGUGAAAUGCUUAGAUAUAACACAGAACACCAAUUGCGAAGGCAGCUUACUGGGAUACAACUGACGCUGAGGCACGAAAGCGUGGGGAUCAAACA
RNAcentral lists this ribosomal RNA (422 nucleotides) under uncultured prokaryote. RNAcentral describes it as "bacterial SSU rRNA". It matches the Rfam family "Bacterial small subunit ribosomal RNA", at positions 355 to 774 of the family's 1533-position model. The record is from RNAcentral. RNAcentral also lists the same sequence under 1 other name.